Molecule: long non-coding RNA, 1219 nt
Filed under: Homo sapiens (human)
Lineage: Eukaryota; Metazoa; Chordata; Mammalia; Primates; Hominidae
Description: HSALNT0407268
Source: RNAcentral
CCUUUAUUCAAUAUGCAGAAGAUACCCAAGUGGUCUUAGGUUAAAAUUCUGAGCCCCCAAAGCAGAUUUCAGAAAGGAACAUCAUCAUGCUUUUGGGAUUGUGAAAUAAAGCCACACUGGACCUCCACGCAGAGGAACUCUGUAGGCGAUCCACAUGGUUCAUUGCACCAAUCAUAUUCCCUGGCAUUUCAACUGUGGGACCACUCAAAGCAGCCGCAAGCCUGGUAUUUCUCUCUUUUGUCCUCCAUUGGAGAGCAUGGUUGUGCCAAGGCUCUCUAGCCAGGACAGCCCAUCCUCAGGCCACCCAGCUCCGUGAGUGAGUUCCCUGCACAGCCUGUGACUGACUCACCGAUGCAGUGGGGCUGAUCUUCACAUGGCACCCCAAGCAGGCUUUUCCAGUUCACAUCUGCCAACAAGGCAGCCAAGGGGGUGGUUUAGGAAGUAGAGAAAAGGUGAAAAGGCAGCGGAGGGAGCCGGCUGUCCUGUGUCUCCUCUUUUUCCUGCCCCCAGUGACUUGCAUUUUCUCUGAGACAGCUGCCAUUCUAGUCUCCCAGCCAUUCUUAGGAAGAGACGUGCCUGUCUCUGGGAAGAGGCAACUUCUCUGCAUGUCAGAGAUGUUUUCUCUCUCCUGAAAUAAGCCUUGACUCUAUUUGAUCUGCAGAGCCUUGGCAUGAAGAAUAUUUUAUGUUUCUUCUGUGAAGUAAAAAGGCAAGUCUUGUUGACUGAUGGUGAUUAACCAUAAUAAAGAUGCCUCAGUCAUAACAUGAACAUUGAAUAUAGGAUAUCAUCUGCUCAGAAGCAGACCCGAGUAAUCCAAAUGACAGACUGUGAUAUGAAGCUCAGUGAUGCCAGGCUUCUGUGUGAAGACUCAGAUGCUCAAAAAGUAACAGAGAAGCUCUAGAAAGGUUAUUUGUGCCUCCAUUAUGGAAACUUCUUCUGAGCUUAGGAGUAAUGUUAUGGGAGAAAUGCAAAUAAAGAGUGCCUGCUGUCUCUGUUCUGGUUCUUUCUACUUCCCCUCUGUCCUCCCAAGGUAAAUAGCUGAUGGGCUGCCAGACAAAUACUUUCAGAGUACUCAAGGACAGAGCAGACUAAGAAAGGCUUAGCCAAAGCUGGACAGGGACCAAUAAUAGAAUCAUUUCUACUCAUCCUUUGGAGAAGAGCCAUUUCUCCUUUCUGCAAACUAAGAGUGGGUCUUUUGUUUGUUGGCCUUGACAUGAGG